GACGAACGCUGGCGGCGUGCUUAACACAUGCAAGUCGAACGGAAAGGCCCUGCUUUUGUGGGGUGCUCGAGUGGCAAACGGGUGAGUAACCCGUGAGUAACCUGCCCUUGACUUUGGGAUAACUUCAGGAAACUGGGGCUAAUCCCGGAUAGGAGCUCCUGCUGCAUGGUGGGGGUUGGAAAGUUUCGGCGGUUGGGGAUGGUCUCGCGGCUUAUCAGCUUGUUGGUGGGGUAGUGGCUUACCAAGGCUUUGACGGGUAGCCGGCCUGAGAGGGUGACCGGCCACAUUGGGACUGAGAUACGGCCCAGACUCCUACGGGAGGCAGCAGUGGGGAAUAUUGCACAAUGGGCGGAAGCCUGAUGCAGCAACGCCGCGUGCGGGAUGACGGCCUUCGGGUUGUAAACCGCUUUCGCCUGUGACGAAGCGUGAGUGACGGUAAUGGGUAAAGAAGCACCGGCUAACUACGUG
RNAcentral lists this ribosomal RNA (468 nucleotides) under uncultured bacterium. Its description in RNAcentral is "partial 16S ribosomal RNA". It matches the Rfam family "Bacterial small subunit ribosomal RNA", at positions 28 to 507 of the family's 1533-position model. The record is from RNAcentral.